Lolium perenne is the source of this 1658-nucleotide RNA transcript. It is a transcript of the gene named protein COFACTOR ASSEMBLY OF COMPLEX C SUBUNIT B CCB4, chloroplastic, with no coding region annotated. The record is from RefSeq and is a predicted model, not a curated record. Lineage: Eukaryota; Viridiplantae; Streptophyta; Magnoliopsida; Poales; Poaceae.
CCCACCGUACUAACCUGAGCGGCAUGGAGCUGAGCCUGCUGAGAAGCCGUAUCUUCGCUCCACUCCGUCCAGUCUCCUCCCCAUGCCACUUCCGUCGGCCUCCCUCCAGAGCCUUCUUCCCGCCGCAGCCUCCUCCGCCAAGCCAAGAGGACAUGGGAUGCAGCAGGGCAAUGCGGACGCGGCAGGAGUGGGUGGGGGACUGGGUCCGGAGCAACGACACGCUCGUCCGCGGCCUUCCCAUUUUCAUCGGCGGCGUCUCGCUGCUCGCCGUCCUCCUCAACCGCGCCGUUUCCGGCAUCGCUGCCGUCUCUGACGCUUCCAGUUCGCAGUCGAGGGCUGACAUACUGACUCUCGCGCUCUCGGUAACAGACAUUCUCGCCGGCCUUGUUUGGUUGUCCAUCAGGCCGAAAUCCAUUUCUCCGGUGGUACCUCGAGGUGUCGAUUGUAAACGAGUAGAUCCGGAUGUAUCAACCUCUGCUCUUCAUGAACUACUUUGGGCAUGGGAUUCCUUGAUGGCUGCAACUUGUUGCAAAUCAUUGGUUGUUGUGUAUGGAGGUAAUUGCAUUCUUCAAAUUGGGGUUGCUGCUAGCACUCCAGAAGAUGGUAAAGCAGUUAAUGUGGAUGCACAAAAGUUCAUCCAAGGUUCCCUUUACACCAGUGCCAUUGAAUCCAAGAAACAAUCCUAUCUAGCAAAUCUUGCUUUAUAUCCUGGAAGGACCGAGUUGCCGUUUCUGCCAGCUAACACACAGGCUCUAAUACUUCAGCCAAUUGGUGAUAAAGGAAUUGCAGUCAUUGGUGGCGACACUAUAAGGGGCUUUACUAAUCUUGAUCAGGCAUGGAUUGCAAUGAUUGCAGAUAAGUUGGAUGCUACAUUGUCGAAAUCAUAAAAGGGCACCACUCAUUGGAUAUGAAGGUAUACCUAUGGAAGCUGAAACCGGAGUCCACGGAACGUGUACACCUAAACAUUACAGGGCCAAGGUAUGGUUGCUGAGAAGAAACCCGAUGAUGAUCAGUUCAGAAUGGUUGAAGCUUGUCCUGGAUGAAGGGAACAGCUCCACUUGAACUUGGAGGUAGCUGUCGCUGUUAAAGUGGACAUCGGACAACUCAACUGCACCGGCACGCAGGUUCAACUGUGUCCAGAGGCUCAUCUCCAAUUGCUGAAACAUAACGCUGUCCGACGAGUCCUUGAAAAGCGCAGCUCUGAAGAUCAUCUUGCCACUGUAUGCAAAGGCGCAGCCACAAUUCACAGGGUUCUGAUUCUGAUCACUAGGGCACCUAGUUGUCAAGGCACAUUUGUCCAUGCUAGUUCUGUAUGCUAUCACGUUUGGUUGCUGGACGCUGCAAAAUGGGCCACCGGACAAAGAUUCAUCGAAACACGCCGGAUUGUUGAGAAGCCUGUACACAGAUUUGAGGAAGGGGAAAAGCGAUGUCAGUGAUGAAUGGAGAAUAAAUUUUAUAACUAAGCAUUCUGUGAUGAGUUUGUAUGAUCUUACACCAGUGCCUUUUUGUAGUUUGGAGUGACAUUGGCAGAAAGUAUGCUGUUUGUAUUGAGAUCAACAGAUUGCAGCCGUUGGCUGAUGUUGCCUGACAUAUCAAGUGUCCCGCUGAGCUGGUUUUUGCUCAGUACACUGCAUAAAAAGGAUGAUUACUUUUUUUUU